This 82-nucleotide transfer RNA is filed under the name Rhizoctonia solani AG-1 IA. RNAcentral's name for it is "tRNA-Ser (CGA) (tRNA-Ser-CGA-1-1)". It matches the Rfam family "tRNA". Rfam says of the family: Transfer RNA (tRNA) molecules are approximately 80 nucleotides in length. The record is from RNAcentral. Lineage: Eukaryota; Fungi; Basidiomycota; Agaricomycetes; Cantharellales; Ceratobasidiaceae. RNAcentral also lists the same sequence under 1 other name.
GACAGUUUAGCAAAGUGGUUACUGCGAUUGAUUCGAAAUCAAUUCCUCUUCGAGGGCACAGGUUCGAAUCCUGUAACUGUCG